GAUCGGAUAAACUAAAUUUAAGUUAUUAGGUUCAUGCCCUAACAAUAGAAUUGUAUUCUUCCUUUCA
RNAcentral lists this transfer RNA (67 nucleotides) under Sinonovacula constricta (Chinese razor clam). RNAcentral's name for it is "tRNA-Met". Lineage: Eukaryota; Metazoa; Mollusca; Bivalvia; Cardiida; Solecurtidae. The record is from RNAcentral.